Long non-coding RNA from Leopardus geoffroyi (Geoffroy's cat), 387 nucleotides. RefSeq lists it as uncharacterized. Lineage: Eukaryota; Metazoa; Chordata; Mammalia; Carnivora; Felidae. The transcript is spliced from 2 exons. The record is from RefSeq and is a predicted model, not a curated record.
CACAGAGGCACCCAUAGAGAAGAAGGCCAUGUGAAGACAGAGGCAGACAUUAUGCUGCCACAAGCCAAGGAUUGAUGGCAACGGCCAGAAGCUGGAACAAGUUGGUCCUGGUGAUUAUGGUCAUCCAGAGAAUCCACUGCUGCAGGCACUGAGUCCUGUCAAAGGUUCCUCAUGCUGAAGGGUGGAAAGAGCCACACACCCAAUUACAGGUGCUCUACUCCAAAGAAACCUGGGGCUUGGAUGCUGUGCUUUUGCCUUAAUCACAUGAGAUGCUAGGAAUGAGCUUUUCCCAACAGAAAAAGCUCAUGUUAUUUAGACGGCUGUGUCUCUCAAUUAAAAAAAAAAAAACCACAACUAUAAAUAAAUCAAGAUGGAAUCCUAAAAUAU